CGAUGAAAAACCUUUUUUCUGAGGUGUGGCUCGCACCUGUCCAACUAAACUUGAGCUACCUUUUUUAUACACGGUUGCAUCGGUCGGCCUGUCCAACAGUGCGCGCGCGAAAUUCAUUUUCCGCUACACUGAGCAGACGGGACGGCACUUUACACAAACACUUUUGAUAAUCUAGGAUUUGAAUGAAAGUUCAUUUUUUAUGAUGGAUCCGACUGGUAAUGCGGUCGUCUAAAUCUAAAAAA
RNAcentral lists this unclassified non-coding RNA (242 nucleotides) under uncultured Pseudozyma. RNAcentral's name for it is "sequence contains ITS1". Lineage: Eukaryota; Fungi; Basidiomycota; Ustilaginomycetes; Ustilaginales; Ustilaginaceae. The record is from RNAcentral.